CAAGGGGCCAGUGGGUGGAUGGGUAAAACCACCUGCUCCUCAAAACAGCCAGGCUCUGAGAUGAAGCAGGAAUCUACACUUAAACCGAGGCUGGAUCCAUCCUAGGGAUUCAAGCCUGUGAUGUCAAGAGAAAACAGAAAAGAGAAGGGAAUUCCACCUUUGCCCACUGAGAACACAUCUACGCUGAGAACACAUCUACCCAACUCCUCUGUCACAACCCCUGUGAGAAGGUUCUGCCAUCUCCCAGCCCUGAAGAUUGUGAGGUCAUCUGACCACCUAUUACAUUGCUAAACAUGGCAGGAUGUCACCUGACUCGACACUAAGCUGCCCAUCAAUCAUCACACCCCCUUUCUCCCACUUACUUUUCUAUCACCCCGUAGAUUCCCAACAGCUGUCCUUAAGUCCUCCAGGCUACAGAAACCACUCUUGAAACAAUGUCAGCGUACCAUUAGUGCCCUUUAACUCAUACCCUCACUUCCCAGCCCCUCCUCUGUGAACGAAGUCUCUCCUUACCUCUUGCUCCAGCACUAAUCAAUCUAAUGUUCCUUCACUCUUUUCUCCCCUCCCAGCUUCCCUCCAACCUGCACCCAAUCCCCCCAAAUCCUUUCUCCUCUUUCUUUGCAAUUCUCCACACCAAGACUGAACACUUGUCAGAAAUGGUGCUCCCCCUGGGCCCCUCCACACCUCCUGAAGCCCAAUCCCUGUCACUUCUUACCACCCCCAGCUCCCUGAUGGCCCUGGGCCUCCCUCCCGACAGCUGAGGCCCUUCCUGGAUCUCUACACGUCACCAAGCUAAGCCAGUGUUCCAAAAUAGUCUCCUGAACAAUGAUGACAACUGCACAGUUAUUUUGGAAGAACUUCCUGGCAGUGAUGGCAGUGGAACAUUGGAAACAGAGAUGAACAGGAGGUGGGAAGAGGAGGCUAAGUACAUGUAGGCCUAAAAGUCUCUGCUUUGGGAGAUUUUUAACAGUCCUGGAUGGAGAUGAGUGUCAAAGCUACUAUCUCUCUGGGAGGAUCAUGGCAGACAGGAGGCAGGUCUAGAUUGCAGUUCCCACUCAGAUGGACAGAGCAGCAUGUGGAGUAUUGCAUCACGAACUUUUGCUCCAGAAUGACUGCAGGAAGAAAUCAGGAAAGCCAAGAGAACCCACAGACCCUCUGAGGGAAGUGAAUUGCUCCUGCAGGGCCUUGGAAACACCCCAAAUACCCACCCAGAAGAAUCCUGUAUUUAAUUGGCUCAUAUGGAAAAUUUUAGAAAGAGAGAGACAUCGGGGCUCAGACUAUCUUCUGAUCAGGAACCAAAAUGAGCUGGGAGGUGUCCCUGAAUUCUGGCUCCCACUUC
This 1339-nucleotide long non-coding RNA is filed under the name Pan troglodytes (chimpanzee). RNAcentral's name for it is "long non-coding RNA NONPTRT017456". The record is from RNAcentral. Lineage: Eukaryota; Metazoa; Chordata; Mammalia; Primates; Hominidae.